GACGAACGCUGGCGGCGUGCCUAAUACAUGCAAGUCGAGCGAAGUUUUUCUGGUGCUUGCACUAGAAAAACUUAGCGGCGAACGGGUGAGUAACACGUAAAGAACCUGCCUCAUAGACUGGGACAACUAUUGGAAACGAUAGCUAAUACCGGAUAACAGUAUUUCUCGCAUGAGAGAUAUUUAAAAGUUGGUUAUGCUAACACUAUGAGAUGGCUUUGCGGUGCAUUAGCUAGUUGGUGGGGUAAAGGCCCACCAAGGCGACGAUGCAUAGCCGACCUGAGAGGGUGAUCGGCCACACUGGGACUGAGACACGGCCCAGACUCCUACGGGAGGCAGCAGUAGGGAAUCUUCCGCAAUGGGCGAAAGCCUGACGGAGCAACGCCGCGUGAGUGAAGAAGGAUUUCGGUUGUAAAGCUCUG
RNAcentral lists this ribosomal RNA (419 nucleotides) under Gemella morbillorum. RNAcentral describes it as "bacterial SSU rRNA". It matches the Rfam family "Bacterial small subunit ribosomal RNA", at positions 28 to 435 of the family's 1533-position model. The record is from RNAcentral. Lineage: Bacteria; Bacillati; Bacillota; Bacilli; Caryophanales; Gemellaceae.